UACCAGCACCCCGAGUGGUCGGGACGUUUAUUGGGCCUAAAGCAUCCGUAGCCGGUUCUACAAGUCUUCCGUUAAAUCCAACUGCUUAACAGGUGGGCUGCGGAAGAUACUAUAGAGCUAGGAGGCGGGAGAGGCAAGCGGUACUCGAUGGGUAGGGGUAAAAUCCGUUGAUCCAUUGAAGACCACCAGUGGCGAAGGCGGCUGCCAGAACGCGCUCGACGGUGAGGGAUGAAAGCUGGGGGAG
RNAcentral lists this ribosomal RNA (244 nucleotides) under uncultured bacterium. RNAcentral describes it as "partial 16S ribosomal RNA". It matches the Rfam family "Archaeal small subunit ribosomal RNA", at positions 474 to 719 of the family's 1478-position model. The record is from RNAcentral.